This 230-nucleotide long non-coding RNA is filed under the name Elaeis guineensis (African oil palm). Its description in RNAcentral is "long non-coding RNA (EGUI_LNC056000)". The record is from RNAcentral. Lineage: Eukaryota; Viridiplantae; Streptophyta; Magnoliopsida; Arecales; Arecaceae.
UAGAUGAUCCGAUUAGCAAGUACUUGGAUUGGGUUAAUCACCAAGCCGUCCGAUCAUAGGAGCAAGAAAGGUUUAAAAGUUCUCUCUUUCCAUUCGAUGGGAUGCUCUUAUGAUGUGUAGGGGUGCCAUAUGAUUAGAUCUCAUGAAGAAGAACAUGAAAGAAAAAUCUUAUUUUUCUACAAAAUCCUAGAUCUUGAAAUCCUAGAUUUAUUGUAUGUGAUACAAAGUUG